ACGCUCGACACCUACGGGAGGCAGCAGGUGGGGAAUAUUGCACAAUGGGGGAAACCCUGAUGCAGCGACGCCGCGUGAAGGAAGAAGUAUUUCGGUAUGUAAACUUCUAUCAGCAGGGAAGAAGAAAGUGACGGUACCUGACUAAGAAGCCCCGGCUAACUACGUGCCAACAGCCGCGGUAAUCUGAGCGGGCUGGCAAGGC
This 202-nucleotide ribosomal RNA is filed under the name uncultured bacterium. RNAcentral's name for it is "partial 16S ribosomal RNA". It matches the Rfam family "Bacterial small subunit ribosomal RNA", at positions 328 to 539 of the family's 1533-position model. The record is from RNAcentral.